UUCCCCUAGUAACUGCGAGUGAAGCGGGAAAAGCUCAAAUUUAAAUCUGGCGGCUUGAGUCGUCCGAGUUGUAACCUGGAGAGGCAUUUUCCGCGUUGGACCGUGUACAAGUCUCCUGGAAUGGAGCGUCAUAGAGGGUGAGAAUCCCGUCCAUGACACGGACUGCCAAUGCUUUUGUGAUAUGCCUUCGAAGAGUCGCGUUGUUUGGGAAUGCAGCGCAAAAUGGGUGGUAAAUUCCAUCUAAAGCUAAAUAUUGGCGAGAGACCGAUAGCGAACAAGUACCGUGAGGGAAAGAUGAAAAGCACUUUGGAAAGAGAGUUAAACAGUACGUGAAAUUGUUGAAAGGGAAACGCUUGAAGUCAGUCGCGUUCCGUGGAACUCAGCCUUACUUCGGUUUGGUGUACUUUCCAUUUGAACGGGUCAGCAUCAAUUUUGGCUGGUGGACAAAGGCAAGGGGAAUGUAGCGUUGCUUCGGUGACGUGUUAUAGCCCCUUGUUGUAUACGCCGGCUGGGAUUGAGGACCGCAGCACGCCCUUGUGGCCGGGGGGUUCGCCCUACGUACCGUGCUUAGGAUGUUGGCAUAAUGGCUUUAAGCGACCCGUCUUGAAACACGGACCAAGGAGUCUAACAUGCUUGCGAGUGUUCGGGUGGAAAACCCUUGCGCGUAAUGAAAGUGAAAGUUGGGAACCUUCUCGCAAGAGAGGGUGCACUGACGCCCGGCCCUGACGUUCUCUGACGGUGCUGCGGUAGAGCAAGUACGUUGGGACCCGAAAGAUGGUGAACUAUGCCUGAAUAGGGUGAAGCCAGAGGAAACUCUGGUGGAGGCUCGUAGCGAUUCUGACGUGCAAAUCGAUCGUCAAAUUUGGG
This 867-nucleotide ribosomal RNA is filed under the name Fulvifomes sp. Its description in RNAcentral is "partial large subunit ribosomal RNA". It matches the Rfam family "Eukaryotic large subunit ribosomal RNA", at positions 75 to 915 of the family's 3401-position model. The record is from RNAcentral. Lineage: Eukaryota; Fungi; Basidiomycota; Agaricomycetes; Hymenochaetales; Hymenochaetaceae.